CGAGCAGAGACGGAGGGAGACCAAGGACCAGAUGCCUUUCAAGGGCAUAUCCUGGUGACCUUAUUCUCUGAACUAAGCCCCACCUCCUGAAGUGUCUAGCACCUCUCAAUACUGCCAUCAUCUAUGAGCCCAUUAGUGGAUUGAUCCACCAGUGAGAUCAGAGCCCUCAUGGUCCAAUCACUUCCUAAACCCACCUCUGAAUACUGCCACACUGGGAACCAGCCUUCAAAACACAAGUCUUUGGGAGACAUUUGAGAUCCAGACCACCACCCCGCUCCAUACUUUUGGCACAUAUAUAUCCAAGAACACUGAUAUUCUCCUACGUCACUAGCAUGGCCACAUCCCCAGGCCAAUCCACCACUGUAUCCAAUACAAUGCCCUUUAUGACACCUUUUAUCCUGCCAGGACCUUCCCCUGGACACAACAGUGCAUUUGGCUGUCUUCACACAAUGAUAUCAAGGGGAAGGAUCAUCUUUACUUUUUAUUUAAAAAAUUUUUUUAGUAAAGUGUAAAACCAGAGCCAAUGGCAUAAAGGUGACUUUUAUUCAAAGGCCAAGAAUCCACAAAUCCUUCCCCUUCAUCAGCAGGCAGAAUCUGUGACAAGGCACCUCCCUGGUUGACCUCCUCACGCGUCUGCCUCUAGGGCAAGUGGCCGCAGUGACCGGCUUUCGGGGUGUAGGCCACGGGGCCAAGGCUCCACGGCAUCCUGCACAGCCUGUUCCGCGUUUGGAUUACGAAAAGGCGGCACCUGGCUCUCUGCUCUUGAGCCUGCCUUUAGGGCUGCUUCUGUGUUGAAGGGCAGAUGUCUGGCCGGCUCCUUGAUCAGAGGUGUAACUACAAAUUUUGUUCUAACUCUGAAGAAAUGAAAACUUGCCAGCUAGGUUAAAGCUGUGAAUUCCCAGGUUCUGACUUGAUUUUUCUGUCCUUGCAUACUGAAUAGUAAUUCUUUGUCCCAGAGUGGUGUCGGUCACUCCCUUAACGUCCUUUCGUGACGUGCCUUCGGCUCUCUGAAGGCCUGUGUGGUGCAGAUAGAGUGAGAGGUGAGAAGGUGCUGGCUCCUGGCCACAAUCUGCAGGCCCUGAGCCAGGCGCAGCGUCCUGACCGGCUCUCAGGCAAUCUCCUGCGGCCCACCUCGGAUGUGAGCCGGGGACCACAAGCAAAGGUAAGGUCAUUUUAGCCUGCCUUUUGUGUUAAAAAACAACAACAGAAAAAAGAGGCAAAAGAAAAAGGAGACGUUUCAAAAAGCUUACUAAGUUCAUUACAUCUUUUACCAAGAGCAAAAUGUCCAGCAUGCUUUACAGGUAGGUAGGACACCCUUAAGGAACUACACGUGGCCUGGGUCACUCAUGUGAUUUUUCCAUGGGACACUGGGGGAGGUGUUGCCUGCCUGAGUGCAUUGAUAGUGAUGGUGUAAUGACAAUCUGGGACACUUGCCUUCAUCUGCAGAAGAGGAGACUUUAGUGCACGGUGGUGUCAGUGACACAGCAGAGCCAGGCUGUCUUAGAGGUUGCCCUGAGGUCACACCUGGAGGCUGUCACUUCAGAGGUCCCCAGCACAGGGGUCACCGUGGUUCUACCACUGAUGGCAGUACUGUCAUUCAUUGCCACCAGAGCUGUCUGUGGGCUGCAGCUGCUCUGGGUCAGCCUGGUGUUGUGCUUUUAGGUGUAGCCCUCCUGGACGCAGCUCAACACCUUCAGGAAACCAAAGGUGGACGUUCCCAUCUCCUUAGGGGCCUUGUUAAGGCUUGUUCCACAUCAGGAGCCAGUGCUCCAAAGUUUGUGCUGCUUCCAGAUCCAUCUUGGCCGCUGCUGGGCCCCUGCUGGUCCUCCUGCCCUUGGCCUCCAGACCUGUUGGCCUCUCAGGGGUCAGCUGUUCACGUGUUGCCAUGAAGGAGCUUGGGGUGGGUUCACUUCUCUUAGGGGGAACUCUUGCCCUGGGAAAAUGUGAACAAGAACUAAUGUGCUUUGCCCUAUCAAUUACCUCACUUUCUCUAGUUCACUGAUUUUCCUCCACGUUUUUUAUUGGUGCAUCUUAGCUGUACCUAAGGUGGUGGGAUUUGUUGUACAUAUUAGUACAUGCUCACGAUUUAACAAUAUGAUUUGGCCAACAUCACUCCCUAGUUCACCAAUUUUCUAUCAACAGAUUAAAAAAAAAAAAGAAAACUGAGGCCAAAGAGCUUUUGUUGUCUGAGGUCACAGAGUUGAUCAUCUCUGUAGCCCAGGUGUGAGCCCCCAGGAUUCAGAGACUCCUCCUGUGAGACCUUGGGGCCCACUGGAAGUUAGCCCCAGGCUAACUUCAAGGAACACUUCUUGCCUCGGUCUCACACAGCCUCUAAGCAAUGUCCACAGUUGGAAUGGUGCCACGGCAGCCAGGCAGCAACCCCCGGAGUGCACACAGAGAACUUGUGCCGUGGGCUGGCUCCUGGGCCCCUCUCACCUUCUUUAUGACCCUGGACCAAAGGCUUCCAGAUCAAUGGGCUGGGGGCACCUCAGCCCAUCCUAGCAGAAGUAGGGUGUGUGAUGUCCCCCAGGCCCUGGCCUCUCCUUCAGGGGGAGUGCCACGUGAGCACAGCUUGGGUGUUGUGUUCUGAAGGAUGCAGGUGCAGAGUGUCUGCUGCUGUCCCCGUCCCCGAGGCUUCCUUGCCCCCUGUGGUCAAUUUCCUCUUCCCUUCUGGGAUUUCUCCCAUUUUCAGGGUCCAUUCUGCUGCCCCCCAAAACCUCAGUUUGUGCGGUGCCAGCCUUCCUGAUGCUCCAAACCCAGCUGUUGCUGCAGCGGCUUCAGGCCUGCUUGAAUGCUCCUGCAGUCAGGCAGCUCACCACUGCGUUCAGCUAAGAAUCUUCCCCUCGGAGGACUGACUUAGGCCAUCGUCCCCCAGAAAGAUACUGCAUUCCCAAGAGGAUACAGUGGAUGACCAAAGGCCACCCAUAAAAUUAACCAAGGGAGAGACUGAAUCAGGGUGUAUCUUGCAUCCCGAGGUUUCAGUUCUGGAAGGCUCCACAGAGCUCGCUAGGACCCUCCCUUGGUAGGGUGGAGGUCACCAUGACUGCAGUCUUGGGGCUGGCACGAGCAGAGCUGACCGGGCCAGCUGCCUUCCUCCUGCAUGCCAUGAUGAACCCAGGGAAGAGGGGCCGCAGGAAGACUCUCAUCUGGGAGGCUGGACAGAAUUUCAGACAGCCCGAGCUCACCUUCUUGCACCCCCAGGUUGCCCAACAGUGGCCUCAGAAUAGUCUGGGUGAUCUUGAGGGCGAGUUGCUUGAUGCGUUUGUACGGGUUCUAGCAUCCAGAGGUGUGGUCUUCCAUGAACCAGAUCUCGCUCUUGGCACGAGCAUUGCUGCUCAUGGUCCUGGGGGCUCCUUCUGGUCUCCUGGCUGCCAGUGGCCUUGGGUCCUUGGUGUGCAGUUGCCCACUCUCUGCCUGCUCCCUGGGCCCUUUCCACUCUCUUAUCAGGACACUCACUGGGGGCAGGGCCCACCACAGUCCAGAGUCACCGUCCUUACCAUAAUCAUCUCUGUGAAGCCACUUUCCCCACUUUGGAUCUUACCAUAAUCCCUCUUUCCAAAUAAGACCACAUCCUGUGAUUCUGGGUGGACAUGAAUGUGCAGGGGACACUCGUCCAACCCACUGCCGCCCUCGACUGCCUGUACUCUUCCUUCUCUCUUCCCCCUAGUCUGUUGGUCUUUUCUGUUGAGUGAGUCCAGCAGGCUACCUGCCAGUCUCAGCUCGGGCAUGUGACCCCUUCCUUUGGGGAUGGAAAAGCAUUCUCUUUGGCCUCGCCAGUCAGCCAGGCAUUCCAAGCUGGUCUUUCCAUUUGGGGCUUCUCAUCAGUUGGUCUAUUGUUUAUACAAAUCCCAAACCGUGGAACGCUCUUGGUAAACACUCUCCCACUUACUCUGAAAAUGCUGGCCCUGGGGCCUGAGAACCCCCCUUCCCCAGGAGAGCCGGGCUGGGCUUUCUUCACAGAUUUCGGGGCUUUUGGAAAGGGCGUGUUUUUCCUAACUCACUUCAAAUGCCUUUCUUAACAAAACCUCGGAACCUUUGGAAAAUGGAAAAGCAGUAGCUCAUCUGGAAGGAAAUUCCAAGUUUAAGAACCUGCAACCAAAUCCUUGGCAUCCGCGGCUGUCCUUGGCGGGCAUCUCUGGCCGCCGGGUGCGUCUCCAGCCGAGACUUCUUCAUCUUGUUCCGUUGGUGGUCUAUGUUUAAAUUCCUGCUCAGAAUUUUUCCAGUGGGCCUUCUUCUCCUCCAGAAAAAGUCCAUGUGUGGUGCCAGCCCUGCGUCCGGUCCUGGUUCUCUGACGUCUGACCGUUCCGCGUGGCUGGAAACUCAGAGCAGGCGGUGGAGGGGAAGGCGGGCAGUGGCAGAGGCCGGGUUUGAGUGAGUCAUUGCCAGUCUUCAUGGCGUAACGGGGACUCAUUCCAGGUUAGCGGUUUGUAAAGUGGUCAGCUCCAAGGGGAAUAGCCACCCCCGAGGAAUUUUAAAUAUAUAACAUGACAUCAAAGACCAAAGGUGCCCCAGGUUUCUCAGCAGGGACCAGCAGGCUCACACUCGGAUGCCCUCAGAAAGCAGGUGAAGAGACCUGCUAAGAGCCACUUUCCCCACUUGGGAUCUCCAUUGGAUGGACACGAAGACUGUGUGAGCUGUCACUGCCUGUCACUCUGGCCACACUUGUCCUGGGUGGCCCCGCUGUGGUUCAGCUGAGAACUCUGCUUCCUGAGGAUGAGGAGAGUGGGAGAAGCUGUCUGGGAGACACUUUUAUGUGUUCCUGUCUCUGGGGAUCCCCUAAUGUGCCUGUGAACUGACCCCAACUAUUUAUGCAACAUUUUUUGAGCACCUGGUGCAUACCAGGAGAUGAUCUUGGGUCAUGAUUCCCUUUCCUGUGUUGUCCCAUCCGUCAGGGCAAGGUUGUUGUAAAGGACAAAGGACAAAGGGGACAAAGGGGACAAGGACGUGAGGAGGUGAGGAGCCACGUGCCUUGGGUGUGGGGAAGGAGCACCCUGUGGCGAAGACAGGUGGGCAGUGGGGAGGAGUCAGUGUUGGAACUGGGUUGAUUGGAUCAGCACUUGUCCCCUGUUGGUCUGACCCUGACUGACAGCCUGAAGUCCUCCGUGAGUGUUAGCCUCAGGUCGGGCCCUAAUGUGAAGCCUGAACUUGGCCUCUGACCUCAGCUGGCCGUGGACCUGGACCAGUCCCUGUGGCUCAGCUCUGCCUCAGCUCUGGCUCUGUGAAUCUGCCCCUUACCCAAAGAUCCCUGGAUGACCCUUGCCACUCAGCCUUCCAGGCUCGGGGUUCCUGCCCCACCACCCUGGAGGACCUCCCCGAGGCCAGCUCCUAACCCAGCCCUGCUUUCCCUCCAUGCAUCUGUGCUCUGAGAUCCACACUGUCACCCACUCACCACCGCUGGGCCACUGUGAGCACCAACCUAGCUCAGGCCUAGUGUCCCCUGCUGUAGUCCCUGUGGAAACAGCUCCUGCAGUGCUAGCCCGCUCUGCUCUGGGUCCAGCGUGGCUCACCCUCGACCCCUCCUGCCUGUCUUCCUGAAAGUUAGCUAAUGGCAAGGCGUCUUUGGCUGAGGCCUCACACUUGGCUGGUGACUGGCAUUGCACAUGUCAUAAGGUAAGCACGAUCACAGGAGGGAGAAAGAAGCUGCUCCUCUGGGGAGCAGGGAUGACACCAGGGUCCAUGAAUGAUGGCUCCCAGUGCCAGCUGCCAGUAAGCCUCAUGGUGACUUGUUGCAGACUAGGACUCAGGCUAAGACCUUCCAAGGCCACUCAGAACGUGAGAGGUGGUCAGGUUAGACCUGCAUCCAUGGGGUUGGCUGGUCCUGCUCUGUCCACACACCGUGGCCCUGCUGUGCUUCUCAGAGCUGGGUGAUCACUUGUCCACCUGCUGCUGAAGUCAUCAGGUCCUGGAGGAGCUGCCCUUCCUCUGAAGCUACCGUCUCAGGUGCAGAGGUUGGGGACCUUGGAGGGCUUCCCCGGGCAGCGUCCCUUGUCACAGCUUCUGGGCAAGGCAGUCCAGGGCUUAACAGUCCUCGCUAUCUGACCUGAAUUCCUCCUGCUGUAAUUUAAGUCAACCUUCUCUGACUCGGCCCCGAGUGACACCGAGGCCUCGGUCCUUUGUCACUGCCCCCCACUCCCUGCCCCUAAAUGCAGCACCUGUGCACAGGCACUGGAGGUGACUGAGGCCUGCUAUUGCUGGUACUCUGCCUCAAUGUCCACUUCAAGAACGGUGCAGCUCUCAGAUGCCACAUGGUCCUGGGGACCUGGUGGGAGGUGGGGGAGGGCCGGUCUGGCUUGGUAGUCGGCAGCUGCAUGAGAGCCUUGUGGUCCGGGCUCCAGCUCCAUUUGUUACUGUGUGGACCAGGCUCCCAGCCCCAGGGCCUUUGAGGCUGUCUCUCAGGAAGGCUCUGCUGACCCCGUUCCUGGAGGUCCCAGCUUUUGUGCCAUGGGCUCUUGGGCACGUUGGUUUGGAAUUAUGUUCAUUGUCAGUCUUUCCCCUGGGACAGCCAUAGCAAAGUUCCAGAAACUGGGACCCAAAUAACAGGGAGUUAUUCUCUCACAGUUCUGGAGGCUGUUUUCAGGGCUCUGCUCCCUCUAAAGGUGCGAGGGGAUCCUUUUGCCCCCAGCUCCUCUGGUUGCUGGCCAUUCUGCACCCCUUGGCUCUCAGGGCCCUGCUCCAGGCUCCUCCGGUUGUCACACAGCCUUCUGUCUGGGUGCUGUGUCCCUACUUCCCUCUUCUAUAGGAACCCAAGCCACACUGCCAGAGGGCCACCCUACUCCAGUGUGGCCUCAUCAUAACUUGAUCACAUCUGAAGAGACCCUGAUCUCAAGGAAGGCCACGUUCACAGGUAUGGAGGUCAGGUCACACACAUAUCUUUGGGGAGCCACAGUUUGAUCACCAAAGGCUUCCGGGGACUUAGUGAGCCCGCCCACGGCCGACUGCCCAGGAGUGCCCAAGGAAGGCGGGCUGAAUGCUGAGGAAGGCGUGAGCCCCGGGGCAGAGCGCUGACCCCCCCACAGGUGGCAAAUGAGCUCCUCAUCCAAGAGAAGUCCCACAGGUGCCGCCAUCGCCCCUUUUCUGGUAUAUUCGAUCUUCCAAUGUGGGUGUUCUGCAUCAUGGUCUCCCCACCACCACCCUUCCUCCUGCUCUCGCUUCCUGUUUUCUGCCUCUCCUCUGAGCUGUUCCAGAAGUUGAAACUGCCCGGGCUGAGCCCGACUUGAGAAGGUGUGCUUUCUUCUUCGAGUGAGAAUCAGCGACGGAGCAGUCUCCUCGCUCCAUCCCACACGCCCUGCAGCUUGCACAGGGCGCAGCCCCUGACCACUGCGGGGGCGGGCGGUGCCACGGCGCCUUCUCCUGCCGGGCCCCCUUCUCUGUGGGCAGGACCAACCCUCCCCAGCUGCACCUCCAAGGCGGCUCUGGGCUCGUCGCAGCAAAUCCACAGGAUUGGUGUCACUUUAACCACAUCAACUUAGGCUCCCUGCACGGCUGUUUUGCAGGACCAGUUGCCUCUGCCCACGUGGGGCCUUGGCAUGCAGUGGGCAGAUGGGGCAGAUCUGGCUCUGGAUUACCCCCAGAGCUGGGCUUCUGGCAUUUUCUCUGGCCUGCUGAGGCUGCUGACCCAAACUCUGGGACCACACAACAGGGAUAAAGGCUUUCUGACUCAACUAAUGUUCCCCAAACCACUCACUGUUGACGUUACAAGAGGCAGACUGUGAGAGACUGUCCAGAUGGAAGUGGGGAAGGUCUCGCAAACAAGGGGGCAGGGCCGUGUUCAGCACCGCAGGGACCCUGAGCCAGAGUGGCCGGGACGGUGCUCCAAGCCCCAUACACACCUGUCCUCACAGGCCAGAGGAGGGCAGACACCCUGGAUCAAAGGGAGGACCUCACAGUGUGGCUGGCAGAGAGAGGAGAGCUGGGCAGUCAGAGACUCCAGGGAUCAACUCUCUGAUAGCCCGUGGAGAUCUCUGCUGGGACAGCCUGCCACGCACACCACAGCCCCAGCAACCCCAGGCCCAAGGCCACGGCCAGGUUAUUUCAGAUCAACACGGGUCCCAAUACACCUGUCAGCCCACAAGUCCCACAUGCACUGAGCAUCUCCCAUUGUUCACCCCAAGUGAACUGUCCUGGACUGGGGGCUGGCCCCAUGUGGAAGAGGGGAGGCAGGGCUGAGCAAGAGGUCAUGGUGGGAAGACGCCAUCCCAGGGUACCAGGACUGAGAGGAGGCCACGCCUCUGACCAACAGGGAAGCGUCCUGGGGCCCCAUAACAAAGCACCACAGAGGCUUCAACAACAGAGCUCUGUUCUCUCGCAGGCCUGAGACCAAGGUGUGGGCAGCGCUGGUCCCCCUGGAGGCGCCAAGUGCAUUUGUCCCUUGUGUCCCCUGCCUUCUGGAGUUGCCGACCUUCCCUGCCUUUCAUGGACUGCGGACGCACCUCCACUCCCUGCCUCCUGUCCCUUGUGCAUCUCGUCUCCCUCUGCUUUCUCCUAGGAAGACAUCCGUCAUUGGAUUUAGGGUCCACCUUAAUCUGGGAUGGCUCACAAAGACCCUGUUUCUAAAUAAACUCGUGUUCACAGGUGCCAGGA
Long non-coding RNA from Marmota flaviventris (yellow-bellied marmot), 8580 nucleotides. RefSeq lists it as uncharacterized. The record is from RefSeq and is a predicted model, not a curated record. Lineage: Eukaryota; Metazoa; Chordata; Mammalia; Rodentia; Sciuridae.